UACGUAGGCAGCGAGCGUUGUUCGGAAUUACUGGGCGUAAAGAGUGUGUAGGCGGUGCUCUAAGUUCGGUGUGAAAUCUCCCGGCUUAACUGGGAGGGUGCGCCGGAAACUGGAGUGCUCGAGCGUGGGAGAGGAAAGCGGAAUUCCUGGUGUAGCGGUGAAAUGCGUAGAUAUCAGGAGGAACACCGAUGGCGAAGGCAGGUCUCUGGGCAUUAACUGACGCUGAGGAGCGAAAGCAUGGGGAGCGAACAGG
RNAcentral lists this ribosomal RNA (253 nucleotides) under uncultured bacterium. RNAcentral describes it as "partial 16S ribosomal RNA". It matches the Rfam family "Bacterial small subunit ribosomal RNA", at positions 524 to 776 of the family's 1533-position model. The record is from RNAcentral.